GUGAGAACCUGGUAGGGCUCCUGAAGGUAGAACUCCGAAAAGUGUGGGGACCUCCUAGGAAGGCCCCACUGGGAGAUUUUAAUUCUCAAACUUGUCCAAACUGAGUCUCCAGCAAUUCAUAAAUUACAGCUUUAGAUUUCAAUCCCAGUACUAGUUCCAGCAGAGAUUUCUGCUCCAGGGAAUUGGAUUUCUGUGUCUGCUUAUCUGUCUCUCCAGUUUUUGGGGGGUGUCCAUUUGUCUCAAGACCUCAAUUCUCUCAUGGACCUAAGAAGAGCUGUUGAUUUUUAAUUUAUUCAGCUUUCUAUUUGUUUUUAGAAUGCAGUAGUGACUUCUGAACUCCUAUAUGCUGGCCAAAAAAAGAAAAUCAGUUUUAUUUUGAUUUUUGUUGAAUGAACAUUCUUCUUUAAAAGUAAUCUAAAGAUCAUGUCUACAGAAGCUGAGUGAUCAUAGUUCCUGCUCUAUUAGCCAUUCAUCUGGAGAAACAAAUGAGGAAUAUAAAGAUUCUAUUUGCUGGAACCAGCUAAGGCAACUUUCCUAUAAAGGCCCCUUUGAUGAUACAAACUUCUUCUUCCUCAAAGUUUAUCCCUAGAUCAGGUAUCUUUUCUUUUAAACUGUCUUUUUUUUUAACUUUGGAAAACUUGAGGAUUUUCAGUCUAUGUUUGAUAAUUUUUGUUUAUGUGUUCAAAUUAAAGCCAGGGGAAUGAGUAACACUAGCCUGUAGAGACUGGUAGGAUAUUGGCAGUCUUCUAAUCAAUUUCACUUUGCAGAUGAGGAUAUAGAAGACACAGGGAUCUGAAGAAUCUAGGCAUGUUCAAGGUCAGAUAAGUUAGAAAUAGACUGCCCCAUUCAUAGGCAUGACAUCAUUAGUAUGUUGGGAUUUGUGUAUGAGUGGUAAUAGGGCAUCUGCUGUGGACAAAUUAUUUAGAAUCUCUAGAUUGUUUAAAAUAGAUUGCAUUUUAAAAAAUUAUCACUAGACAAAUGGAGACUUGACAGGUUUUCAUAAAUUACAUAGUAAUAAGUGAUAUUAUAUAUAACAUGAUAACUAUGGCCAAAUAGUUAUUCGUUAAUAUAUUCUUUUUUCUACAUUUACUGUUUUUCUCUGCUCACAUUCAGUCUUUACAUUCACUUAUUCCCUGCUUCCUGUUAACCCUAAAAAUCCUUUACUAUUCAACAGUGUAGGAGACGAAGAAUAUAUUUCCCUUACCCAUCGUAGGUUUAUGGCUGAGGCCCCUAUAACAAAAGACAGAAUAAGGAGGAAAAAGCAUACGAACUUAUUUAAUACACCUUUUAUGUGACAUGGGAGCCUUCAUAAGUAAAUGAAGACCCAAAGAAAUAGAUAAACAUGUUUAUCUUUUAUGCUAGGUUUGAUGAAGAAGUAAAUAGUCAUAAAGAUUGGAUAUAAAGUGUGAUCUAAUAGUAAUAAACCAGAAGAAACAUAGCAAGCCUGUUGGUUCAGUUUUCUUUCUUUGCCCCUGUGCCUUCAGAUAAGAGGAUAUUCCUUUCUCACCGGAGGGUUUUAUGACCUGUUUCAGGACAGAAGGGCAAGAGAAGGUGAGAGUGACUUUCCUGCUUCUGCUGUUUUCGCAAAUGCCAAGGUGUCAUAUUUGGGGGUAGCAUGUCCUCAACUCCUAUCCACAGUUUUGAUUUUUGAUGCAGAGGCUGGGACUGACUGUGCAUGAAUAUUGAAUAGACUUAGGAUUCGUGGAACAUCAGAGGACACAGAUGUAGAUGCAAGCUCAUUUGAACUAUGUCUAGAAGGUCUGCUACUUCAAACAGAUGCGGUUUUGAGACCAGCAAUUUAAUGAGAGACAAGGAGAGUCUAGGAAUAAAGUGGAUUUAGUUGGGAUUGAGAUUGGAAAAGAGCACAAUUAAAACUAGAGGACUCUCAUGGGAACAAGUAGUCCUCUUGGGUGUAUGCAUGUGUACGUGAAUCUGAUUGGAGGUGGAAGAAUGGCAUGUAGGAGAGAAAAACCAGUGUUCUGAGGCAGCAGGUGUUCUGUAAGACAGACCAGGAAGAGGUAGUAAGGCAGCCAGAAAGCUACCAUGGUACACCAGAGAAGCCAAAUUAUUCUUGAGGUACCCACUGAGCUUGUCAGCUGCAAUGGCUAAGAGGUAAGUUGUACUUAUGAGUUUUAAGGAGAAAUGCUAGCUCUUUUAACUGGAAUGGCCACAGGUCAUUUGUUCUUGUGGCAGAUGGCUGGUCUGCUGUGACUCUGAAGGUAAUUUUACCUAUUAACAGAAUCUGAAAGACAAAACUUGCUUUCAGUGAUGUCAUAAAUGCUCUUCACUUUCAUCUAUUUCAGUGGCUGAUAAUGUUCCUUACUUCUGUAGCUGAGAUUUCCCAACUUAAUUUGGGUUCUCAUCAGGGUAGAAUUCCAUCCAAGUCAAUCGCAGCAUCUGCACCCACAGCUCUGAGAAGGGAAAGAUGUGCUUGGUGGUGGCCCCAAGUUUGCAGUAUCGGAUUGGACUCAUUAGAAUUACAAGGAAAUGAAAUAAAGAAAGGUAAAACUGGAUUUCAAAGAGUCUAAGUGUGGCUGCUGUCGUGCGGAGGUGGUGACAUGCAGACAUGCAAGCUUGGAAGCUAUGCAAGAAACAGAGCUGUGUGUCUGAAUAUCACCAUGGUUACGGUCUAUAAAAAAUAAUGAGGAGAGAAAAAUAAGAGCACUGGAGUUUGAAGGCUUGUUUUCUAAAAUUGGUUUUUAUCUAUUUGUCUGAUAAAAAUGAAAAGAUCCUGUGGUUUGCAUUAUCUUGACUAAAUCAAAAGCCAAAACCAAAUUAUAAAUUUAUCCUUAAGUGCUCACUGCUAAACAUUCAAGAAUGUUUGUGCUGUCUUUCCCUCCCCUUGACAUCAUGAAUCUUAGGUUUAAUGAAUCAUUGUGAGAUAUCAAGUCAUCCUCUAAUCUGAUGCUGAGCUACAAUCAAAAUUCAGUGAUGACUUUCUAUCUUUCACCCACUACUUCUUAGGCUUGUUGUCACUGAUGCAGUGACAUCGUUCUUGAAUUUCAAUGCUUCUUGCAUCCAGCUGUGGCCAUUGAUUCACUCAUUGAAUUUGAUGGUGUUAAGCACAAUAAGAAAGAUGACUUAAUGGGCCUUAAAUGUUCACUCUUAUUGAAACCAUUCUGCAAUUUUCAUUACCAAGAGAAGUCCCUGCUGCAAUGUUAUUCUGUUGACUUCCCAAAUGCUUCUGGUAAGCAAAGAUACAGGGAAAUGCGGUCCACACCAGCUGUUUCAAUCUAAUUGAGAAAGAAACUAAGUGCUGAUAUUUAGUAAAAGUCUACAAAAAUGCUCUUUUUUUCUUAAUGACGAAAGGACAAAAGGCAUUGCAUCUUCACAAUUAAAGGAAAGCAUGAACAUCGGCGGUUUUCCAAAAUUAGCAUUCUUAGACAAUAUGAAGACCCGUAUUUUUAGAUGAUUCCUUAAUAUUAGAAAAUAUAUACUGAAAGGGAUCAGAGUAUGCCACCCCAAAAUAUAGCACUUUGGCAUAAGGAUUAUUUUGAGCCGAAGGCAACUGAGAAACAGUAAACAUUGAAAAGACUUCUACCCUCCUGUAUUUGGCUAAAAUCAGGUCAUAAAUUUCCCUUCGUGAAGGUGCCCCACCUUCUCCCUUCUCUUGUGCCAGGAAAGGGAGAAUGGUUUGUAAUCACCAGAGAUGAUCUCCAGGGGUGUCCAAUCUUUUGGCUUCCCUGGGCCACAGUGGAAGAAGAAGAAUUGUCUUGGGCCACACAUAAAAUACACUAACAUUAACACUAACAAUAGCUGAUGAGAAAAAAAAAAUCACAAAAAAACUUAGAACCUUUUAAGAAAGUUUAUGAAUUUGUGUUGGGCUGCAUUCAAAGCCAUUCUGGGCCACAUGUAGCCCACAGGCAGUGGAUUGGACAAGCUUGACCUAGGCUCAGCCCAGAGACAGCAACUGAGAGGAAUCUGAAUAACAGACCUUACUAAACAACCCUUAUCUUUCAUUAGUUUCUCCUACAGAUUUACCUUCCCACAAUUAACCACCCUUAAAAGCCUAAUCCUGUUUUCCUUCAUCUUGUCACUUCCACAGUUUGUUGCUCUAUGUUAAAAUGCUGUGUAUCCCUGGGUUUAACUGCUUUUUUGGGUCUUUGCUUUUUUUCUAUGAAGGACUUCAUAUGCAUAUGUGAUAAAUGAUUUUUCCUGUUAAUCUCCCUUUUGUAGGUUUAACUUGCAGGGCACCAGCCACUGAACUUACGAGGGUAGAGGAAAAAAUUUCCCUUUCUUACAAUAUCCGUCUGGUUUAAGGUGAACUAAGAAAUGGCAAAUUUUAAAAUUGAUGUACCUUCUGAAGAUGCUGAAAAUAACUUCUUUGGUUACUUUUGAUGUAUCUUACAUGAGUAAUUCAGGAAAUAUUUAAUAACAACCAGCACUAAGCCCAAGAUUAGACAAAAGCACUCAGGAAUUAUGCAAUUAGUUAUUUAUUUUUUCCAUAAAUUGUAGGAGCUUUGUGGUCAGGAGAGGCCAUUAUCUUUUUCAAGAUACUAUACCUUCACGUUCAGAUAUAAUAAACCAAAAAAUCUCCAAACGUUCAUCCUUUCAGGGUUACCAGUGUUGAGUGCCAAGUGGUGGUAGUCUACUUUUGACUGUUCUGGAGGUCUUAUUUUUUUAGAAAAAUCUCAAAAAAUAGAAUGUUUACUUUAAAUGUGUGCAUUUUAUAUGUGUUUAUGAACAUGUAUGUGUGUGUAUAUAUAUGUGUGUGUAUAUGUAUACAUAUGUAUGUAGACACAUGUGUACAUGUAUCUGUAAAAUAUCACUCAAAGUCAAAUAUCUUUUAUGUUAGCUCAAGUCUAAGAAUGCUUGACACUUUACUGAAAGCAGAUAUUUUAAAUGAAAUUUGACUUUUGUCUUCUUUAUAAUUUCUAAUAAUAUCGGUUGCCUGUCAUAAACUGAAAAACACAUUUGCUAUCUUAGGCAGAAUAAUAAAUAUGGGUUGUAAAUAGUGUCUUUCAUGGAUAAUUAAACUUUUUUUAUUAAGAAUGAUAAUAGAGUUUACUGUAAAUGUGGCUAUCUUCCCAUUACUUAUAUUUUUGAAUGUCAUUGGAAACAUUGAAAAAAAUAGUGUGCUACUCCCUAACUUUACUUCUUUUACUCCAUCCACAUAGAAUAUAGUAGAAAUCUCUUUCAAGUUUUGUUUUCUAUUAUUUUGAGAAAAAUAUUCUCUUCACAUGUAUUUCCCCAGAAGGACAUUCUCUGACAUAACUAUAGUACAAUGAUCCCAUUUUGGCGUGUGAUAUUGAUACUAUAUAUCACGUUAUCCAUGGUCCAUAUUCGCUUUGGCUGGCUGUCCCAAUUUUUUCCUUGGUUCCUCACUCACUCCAGGACCCUCCACUGGACUUGUUAUCAUGGUUCUCUAGAUUACUUCAAUCUGAAAGAGUUUCUCAACCAUUGUUUUUAAUCUUGAGAUUUAAAAAAAUUAUAGGACACUUAUUUUAUGGAAUGUCCCUCAGUGUGGGUUUGUUUGCUGAUUCCUCAAGAUUAAAUUCCAGUUUUGCUUUUUCUGCAGGAAUACCACAGGAACACAUGGUGCUAUUCCCAGUGCAUCACAUCAGGAGGCACGUUGUUGUUUGUCCUAAAAUUGCAGGUGUUAAUGUUGAUUGGUUGAUUAAAGCUUCUCCAGUGUGAAGUUAUUCCUUUUCCCCUUUGUAAUUAGUAAGUAGUUUGUGGGGAGAUACUUUGAGAUGAUAUAUAAAUUUUUUUCUCAUCAAAUAUUCACCUAAUUAGCUUUAGCUUCAAGUAAUUCAAUGAUAUUUUCUUACUUCAUCAUUCCCUCUAUAUUUACUAGUAUACAUUCCCCUUUAAGGGAGACUUUUUCUAUUUAUUUAUCUAUUAAUUUACUCAUUGAUUCUUUUUUUUUCAAUGAAUUACAAUCUAUUAGAGUUAUUUAUUUUGAUAGUCAAAUGACAUGAGUUUGGCCAAUGAGAGCCUCCUGUGUCUUUUGGAUAGGAUUCCAUCAUUAUUCGAAAACUUUUGUCACUCUCUGUUGCAACAAGAGAUUCCAGCUUAUCAUUAUUUCCCUUCAUCAACCCCAGAAUCAGUCAUUUCUCUAAGGAGCCGUGGUUUCUUUUAGUGAAGAUUAAUAUUCAGAAACCAAGAUCUGGGUUAUAGAUGUACUUACUGUUAUUAGCGUGUUGUUGCUUCUCAGCUCUCUCUAGAAAACAUAUGUACAUAUUUAGAUAUCUUUAUUUCUAUAUUUAUUUAUCAUAGAUUAGCUGUUAUUCUAGAGCUUUAUAAAAAUGGAAUCAUAACGGAAGCUGUGUCGUUCAUCUGGGGUAAUAGCUGAGUUUCGUUUUCCCAUUGCCACGGAAAACUAGGGCGCAGACACACCAGCGUGACGUUAAGAGCAGAAGUUUAAUAGGUGAAAGAAAGAGAAGAGCUCUCUCUGCUGCAGAGAGAGGGGUCCCGGAGAAAAAUGGGUUGCUGGUUCCUUCUCGAAAUGCACGGGGUUUUAUAGAUGAGCUUGAGGAGGCGGUGUCUGAUUUACAUAGGGCAAACAAGAUUGGUCGGACCAGGUGCGCCAUUUGUAUAGCGAGGAAGAAUCUGGCCACCCCACCCAAAUCUUUUAUUUUGCAGAUGGUUCUCUACCUGUCCGAUGCCAUGUUGCCUAUUCCUUACUGUACAUAUGGUGACAAAGAAAGGAAAGAUGGAGCCUGCAUGUUGAACAUGUCUGGCCCCCAGGUAGCCUUUUCCUAUUGGCACAGCUGCUGACAUUCAUCCAUGCAAGCUUCUAACUUGCUUAUUUAUGUCUGCAGCUUAAUUUUUCAGGCUGCUCUUUUUUAGGAAAUAAAUGAUUUGGAGGCUGCUUUUUAUUAAAAGGGAAACCUUACCAAUGAAUCUCUUACCAUCACUAACUACCUAAAUAAUUUCUUUUUAGCUCCCAUAUCAUAACCAUGUAUUCUUUUUGUUCAGCUUUUUUCAUUCAGCAUAAUGGUUAUGAAAGGCAUCCAGGUUGUUCCCCAUAUCAGUAAUUUGUUCUUUUUUAUUCCAGAGUAGCAUCUUGUAUGAGAAUACUUCAAAUUUUUAUCCAUCCUUUUGCUGAUGGACUUUUGGAUUGUUUCUAGUUUUAGACUACUACAAAAAAAGGUGCUACACACAUUCUUGUCCACAUCUUUUUGUUGCCAUUUAUUUUCAUUUCUAUUGGAUAAAAAUCUAAAAGUGGAGUUAUUGGGUUGAGGAAUAUUUUACCCUUUAAUUUAACUUUUUAAGAAAAUUAUAGG
This is a long non-coding RNA of Homo sapiens (human), 7229 nucleotides long. RefSeq lists it as uncharacterized. The record is from RefSeq and is a predicted model, not a curated record. The transcript has 4 exons. NCBI's taxonomy places the organism in Eukaryota, Metazoa, Chordata, Mammalia, Primates, Hominidae.